UGGGGAAUAUUGCGCAAUGGACGAAAGUCUGACGCAGCAACGCCGCGUGAGGGAUGACGGCCUUCGGGUUGUAAACCUCUUUCAGCAGGGACGAAGCGAGAGUGACGGUACCUGCAGAAGAAGGACCGGCCAACUACGUGCCAGCAGCCGCGGUAAUACGUAGGGUCCGAGCGUUGUCCGGAAUUAUUGGGCGUAAAGGGCUCGUAGGCGGUUCGUCACGUCGGGAGUGAAAACUCGGGGCUUAACCCCGAGCCUGCUUCCGAUACGGGCAGACUAGAGGUAGGCAGGGGAGAGCGGAACUCCUGGUGUAGCGGUGGAAUGCGCAGAUAUCAGGAAGAACACCGGUGGCGAAGGCGGCUCUCUGGGCCUUACCUGACGCUGAGGAGCGAAAGCGUGGGUAGCGAACAG
Molecule: ribosomal RNA, 408 nt
Filed under: uncultured bacterium
Lineage: Bacteria
Description: bacterial SSU rRNA
Rfam family: Bacterial small subunit ribosomal RNA
Source: RNAcentral